This 195-nucleotide ribosomal RNA is filed under the name uncultured bacterium. Its description in RNAcentral is "partial 16S ribosomal RNA". It matches the Rfam family "Bacterial small subunit ribosomal RNA", at positions 1305 to 1500 of the family's 1533-position model. The record is from RNAcentral.
CUGAAAUUCGCCUUCAUGAAGCCGGAAUUGCUAGUAAUGGCAGGUCAGCAUACUGCCGUGAAUACGUUCCCGGGCCUUGUACACACCGCCCGUCACACCAUGAGAGUUGGGAAUACCCGAAGCCUGUGAGCUAACUUUUAGAGGCAGCAGUCGAAGGUAGAAUCAAUGAUUGGGGUGAAGUCGUAACAAGGUAGC